CACCGCCAUGUGGGGCCGUGGAGAAGCUGCAGGCCCAUUUUCCAUGAGUCAGAAGGGAAGCUGGGUUGUGUUCCUGAACUUUCUUGUAGAGUUUCCCUCUGGAUGCUGCUAGCACUAACAGCCAGAAUCCUGGUAGCCACAUUUGUGGAUGUGGAAAGACACCCACAGUCUGUUGUGCUGUGACAAAAGCUGGCUGGAGGACUGCACGUUGACGACGAGCCUAUCUGUGCAGAGCUGGGCACGUGUGCAUGUCUGUCCCCUCUCUUCCCAGCCUGACUUUGUGCCCCUCCCCCUCCCCUCACUAAGCCAGAAUCACGGUGAGGUUGGGGGACCUGCCUCCUGAAGGAGACUGGGUGCAGAUGGCCACAAGCUCAUGGUCUCUGGAAGACAGAAGCUGGCUACCCGGGGCUAAUGCCUUCUCAAAAGCCGAGGGCUGGCCGACAGGGCCUCUGAGGAGGUUGAGGGGCACGUGGCUAAAGGCAUAUCCUCCGCCCUGAAAAAUCCGGAUCAAGGAGACAUGAUGUCACCCCAGCAUGGGCCACUAGACUGGAUGACUGGGCACUCGGCAGGCAUGUGGUCACAAAGCAAACCAUCUCACCCCGUGAAGAAGUGACGAUCCUUUAGUAUUCGAAGGUUUGCAAACGGAAGACAGAAAGAAACCAACGCAGACCAAUGGUUGAGAGAACUGGCUUUCCAAUUGGAUUGGCUGGGUCCCGAUCCUAAUUCUGCCGCCUAUUGGCUGUGCAAUGUGGGAUCCUCCAAAAGCCCCAGUUCUUCCAACUCUGAAAUAGAGGAGAAGAACCUAUUCUGUGGGGUUGCUUAUGAGGAUUAAGUGAAAUAAUGCAUGCAGAGCUCCUAGUACAAAAUAAGACCCGAAUAACAUUUGCCAUCACCCUUGGUGGCAUCCUCAUUGUCAUUGUUUUUAUUAUUGAUGGUUCUGCAUGGCCCCAGAGAACAGAGGCAGGAGCAAUGGGUGGGAACUGCAGGGGGACUGCUAGUGGUUAGACUCCAGAAAGAACAGUCCAUUAGAACUGUAGAGAAAGGGAAUAGGAAGAAGGGAGGGU
This 1064-nucleotide long non-coding RNA is filed under the name Felis catus (domestic cat). RNAcentral describes it as "lncRNA (ENSFCAG00000042183.2)". The record is from RNAcentral. Lineage: Eukaryota; Metazoa; Chordata; Mammalia; Carnivora; Felidae.